CACUCACCAACAUUUCUCCACCCGGCUGCGGCUUCUGCUCCGCUGCUGCUCACCACCAUCUCACCCCUCCUUCACCACCACCACCAUCUUCUCCAGAUCCGUCGCCCACAACGUCUUUGAACUUUUAGUUUGCACCAAUAAAAUUUACGCGUGCCUCAAAUCUUCCCACAAUCUCCUAUUUUGACGGCGGUGGCGGCGAUAAGGCGAGCAAGAGAAGAAAAAAGAAAAAAAAAUGCAAUUUUUGGACCUAGCAGGUUCGGCCGUCAAACUCGUCGCCGUCGAGAAAAAUCGUUUGGAGAUGUUGUAGAUAAGGCAUUACUGCCAUUGGGGCUGGGUUUGCCUCGGAUUUUGCGGAUUCGGGUCUGGUAUGUUGAUUGUAGAAGAUGAGAUGGUGGUGUUGAACUCUUAUUGGGGUAGGGGUUGGGGUUGGGGUUUGGG
RNAcentral lists this long non-coding RNA (438 nucleotides) under Erythranthe guttata (spotted monkey flower). Its description in RNAcentral is "long non-coding RNA (EGUT_LNC001169)". Lineage: Eukaryota; Viridiplantae; Streptophyta; Magnoliopsida; Lamiales; Phrymaceae. The record is from RNAcentral.